UGCGUUGACUAGGCCUAAUAAGAC
Molecule: non-coding RNA, 24 nt
Filed under: Arabidopsis thaliana (thale cress)
Lineage: Eukaryota; Viridiplantae; Streptophyta; Magnoliopsida; Brassicales; Brassicaceae
Source: RNAcentral